CGGGAAGUAGCUCAGCUUGGUAGAGCACAUGGUUUGGGACCAUGGGGUCGCAGGUUCGAAUCCUGUCUUCCCGG
Molecule: transfer RNA, 74 nt
Filed under: Bacillus subtilis
Lineage: Bacteria; Bacillati; Bacillota; Bacilli; Caryophanales; Bacillaceae
Description: tRNA-Pro
Rfam family: tRNA
About the family: Transfer RNA (tRNA) molecules are approximately 80 nucleotides in length. Their secondary structure includes four short double-helical elements and three loops (D, anti-codon, and T loops).
Source: RNAcentral